AAGUCGUAACAAGGUUUCCGUAGGUGAACCUGCGGAAGGAUCAUUAAUGAGAUCAUGCCCUUCGGGGUAGACCUCCCACCCCCCUGUUCAUCCGCUACCGUUGCCUUUGGCUGGUCCCGGUCCGCAAGAACGGGCCGCCAGGACGGCAGCCCUUUUAAAACCCCGUAUUAUCAUUGUCGUCUGAGUACUAUACAAUAGUUAAAA
Molecule: unclassified non-coding RNA, 204 nt
Filed under: plant metagenome
Description: partial contains small subunit ribosomal RNA and internal transcribed spacer 1
Rfam family: Eukaryotic small subunit ribosomal RNA (bases 1-46)
Source: RNAcentral